GGAGUAGACCGGAUGGUCGCUUGGAUCNAUGAUUCAAGAGGAAAGUCCGGGCUUCAAAGAGCACGAUGGUCGGUAACGCCGACCGGCCGUAAGGUCANGGCAAGUGCAACAGAAAGUAGACCGCCUGGCUUAGCCAGGUAAGGGUGAAACGGUGAGGUAAGAGCUCACCAGCAGCAAAGGUGACUUUGCUGGCUAGGUAAACCCCAUUGGAAGCAAGGCCAAACAGAGAGCAACCGGUGUUCCGGCUCGGAUCUGCUCGAUCCGAUAUGACUCUCGGGUGGGCCGCGCGAGGUGACGAGCAAUCGUCAUCCUAGAUAAAUGGCCAUCACUUGGUGCAAUUCCUUUGUGCCANGUACAAAACCCGGCUUACAGGUCUACUCCAGUG
This 385-nucleotide RNase P RNA is filed under the name Rhodopirellula sp. RNAcentral describes it as "RNase P RNA component class A". It matches the Rfam family "Bacterial RNase P class A". From Rfam's summary of the family: Ribonuclease P (RNase P) is a ubiquitous endoribonuclease, found in archaea, bacteria and eukarya as well as chloroplasts and mitochondria. Its best characterised activity is the generation of mature 5'-ends of tRNAs by cleaving the 5'-leader elements of precursor-tRNAs. Cellular RNase Ps are ribonucleoproteins. The record is from RNAcentral. Lineage: Bacteria; Pseudomonadati; Planctomycetota; Planctomycetia; Pirellulales; Pirellulaceae.